RNAcentral lists this long non-coding RNA (4682 nucleotides) under Lactuca sativa (garden lettuce). Its description in RNAcentral is "long non-coding RNA (LSAT_LNC000961)". The record is from RNAcentral. Lineage: Eukaryota; Viridiplantae; Streptophyta; Magnoliopsida; Asterales; Asteraceae.
UUGGAUCUUUGCUUCCUUCUUCCAACUUCUUCCUUCCUUAGCACCAAAAACACAAAACUAGAUCAAAAUAGGUAGAAAAGAUUAUUAGGGUUUCUUUCAGGGCUUGAGGGGCUUAUGGGGGCAGAGGGUGAACAAACCCUAGCCUCCACAUUCCUUUAAAUGGGUAGCAAAGCCCGGGAGAUUAGGGUUUAAUCACCGGCCAUCAACACACCAUGUUCCAAGAGGCAACACGCUAUGUUGUACUUAAUAAAAGCCGUGUUUCCUCAUAUAUGGACACGUUGUGUUGGUGCCUCCAACAUGUUGUGUCAAAUCCUCAAAAGGUGAUUCAUUCCCAAAAUUGCUACUUAAAUUUUCGGGUGUUAUAAAGAAAUUUGGUAAAUAAGGUAAUUAGGAGGAUAUAAUACGUUAAUUAAUCAAUGAAUAUGCUUCAAACAAUUAAAGACCUAACCAUAUACGUUAAUCCAAACAUUUUGUUGAUUGGUAAACAUAUUUUAUUCAAAUUAAAAAAAAAAAAAAAAAAAAAAAAAAAAAAAAAAAAAAAAAAAAAACAUAAUCCUAUCCUUAUACCAUAUACAUUUCGGAAAAAAAAACAGGAAAGUAUCUUUUAAAAAUACUAAAAAUUAGCGAAUCUCAACAGUUAAGGGAGACAUUUUCCUAUUUACCUUAUUUAGCUAUUCCUCGGUUUAAUUCCUUAUUUUAUGUACGUGAACCCCAACAUUCAAAAGCAUACAACACUACUUUUCUUUCUCAUCUUCAUCACAACAAGUUCAAUAAUUUUGCAAUACAUACUAAAAAGAAACCAAGUUAGUUCAUAUUCAAAGGAUGGAUGAAAAGACCAAAAUUAUUUCGAUUUUUAACUGUAACUACAAUUUGUAUGUAUGUUACUCUGUCUAGGGUUGUUAAAUGUUCUCCAUAGUUUCAUGUUUCUGAAAUACUCUCGGUCCAAAUGAGAAAAAACUCUAUUUCUUCCAACCUCAACCUUUGUUCUUGCUAAUCUCAUUAUGUUUUUCUGCCUUUUAUUUGUUUAAACUUACAACGAAUAGCAACAUACUUUUGUUUUUCUACAUUUUUUUUUGUUUUAUUAUACUAAAAAGUACAAAUUUUGAAGAGUAUUUUUUGACACAUAUACAUUUGUCCAAAAGUAUGAUGCUAUUAAAUGUAUUGUGUUUCUAAGUGUGUAUUGAUAUAUGGUCCCUAUUUUGGACAAAUUUAAAGCAAUGGUUCCUUUUUUAACUAUUUACCAGAAUGGUCCUGAUUUCACAGCUUUACACAUUUGGUCCAUCUUAUAAAUAAUUACAUGAAUAGUCUUUCUUUUUAGGAAAAAUAACAUAUUUUGUCCCUUUUUGUUGUAUUUAAAAUAAUGUUGAUGUUUGGUUCAUAAAUUCAAAACUGUGAAUAGCAUCCUAUUGUAGACUUAUAUGUGGGGUGUUUAUUUGUGACUGUUGUUUCUGUAUGAGUAAUGGCAGAAGGUUCAUUUUUUGUUAUCUUUGAACCUUUGGUGUUUGAAUAUUAUUGAAAAAUGGUACAUGCCAGCAUCAUGAAGCAUAAAAUGUUAUUACUGUAAUAGUAUUGGUCCUUUACUAAAUACAUUUUUUGUUUGUAACUAUUGUUGUUGUAUGAGCAGGGGCAUAAUGGUCAUUCACCAAAAUUACUGAAUUCAAUAUAAUUGAAUUGAAGACAUUAAAUACAUGCAGAUAAUAUACUUUUCUGGUUGUUUCCAUCCCUGCGUUUUAGGCAUGUUAUUUGUUAGACAAAUAAUCACAUUAAUAUAAAAUGUAUUUCUUCCAUAUUUGUCAUUAUCUUGUAUUUAAAAAAAGUGACGCAUAAUAUAUAUUUUCGGAUUUAACGUAAUUUCAAAAUAUUGUAACCAUAUCUUUUGUGCUUAAUUUGUUCCUUUAGUUAGAAAAGAUUGUGAUUUCCAUUAAUUAAAUGAUUACAUAAUCACUAGAUUGUAUAAUAUAAAUCAUCAAACCUAUAAAUUGUAAAUUAAAUUGGGCAUCAAUUGUUUCACGCAAUCUUCUUUUCUUGUAUCAUAAUCAAACCCAUAGAUACAAAUAUAACUAUAAUCUUUUCUACUUUUCUCCUUUUCAAUCUGUAAUCGUUUAUAUUGUUAAUGUUUUUUUUUUCUUUCAUCUACUCAUGUGUAUGAAACAUGUUGUUUCAUAAUCACAAGUACAAACUUUAGCUUAAUCUUUUUCAUCUUUAUUUCUUUUCGAUGUGUACUCUUUAUAAAUAUGUUUUUUUUUUUUUUUUUUUUUUUUUUUUUUCUUUUUUUUUAAAAAAAAUUUUUUUUUUUUUUUUUUUUUUUUUUUUGCAUUUUUCAUAUUAUUGAAAAAAAAAAAUUUAAAAACAAUGAUGUAAUGAAUUCGUAUUGUAGCUUGAUUGUUUUCAUUAACAGAGUUGUAAAAAAUGAUUGUUAUGUCUAUAAAUAUAUUAUAAAACUUAUUGUCAUAAUCAUCUAAUUAUUUAUUUUAAGUUAUGUGUUCUUAACUUUAAAUGAACAUCAUUGUUUUCAGUUUUUUCCCUAUUUUUUUUUUUAAUUUCUAAUAGAAUAAAAAAUAAUUAAAGACACAUGGGCAUAAUGAUAAAUUCUUUUUGUUUGGGACCAUUACUAUAACUUUUUUGACAAUUUGUCUUUCUAAAAUUUCUUUGUUGUGUCAUAUAUUCCAUCCUGCUAACAUUAACCUUAAAAUAUGUAAAUUUUUUAGUUAGGCAUUGUACUUUCCAGUUACAACAAUGUACUUUAAAUGUGAAUUUGUUCAUAUUUUGACAAUUUACGUAAUCUUAAUUAUUUAUGUCGAGUUAAAUGAACAUCACUGUUUUCAUUUUUUUAAUAUGAAUUAUUUAUUACUUUAAAUGUUCUUUAGUAGGUCAUUAAUACGAUAGUUUUCUGGAAAAAAAAUUGUUUUUAGCAUUGAACUCUGUAAAAAAGUACACAAAUAGCAUCUUACCUUUGAAUAAUUAAAAAUCAAAGUAAAAAAUAGUUAAUAAAUAAAUAAUAAUAACUAGGGAAGUUGCCCACGCUCCGCAUUGAUCAGAAAGGGUUUGUUUUUUGUUUCAUUGUAUAAACGGAAUACAGUUAUUGCAACCAAACAUGUAAUGGAAUGAAAUCUUGGAUUACAAUCAUGCUAUAAUUCAUGAACCAAAGAAACCCUAGACGCAUAAAAGGACAGAUGAAUAUAAAUCAAACUUUACUUUCUUAUCACAUGUUCCAGUUAGUUGAUGGAGAGUGAAUCCAACAAUAUCAGCCCAUGUUGGACAAUCAACAAGAUAGAUAAAAUACAUUAGACAAACUACAUCUGGAGUUAAUAGGAACAACAUGAUCUGCAGCCAUAGUAGUUGGUGCGAUCAUUUUUAACAACAGAUCAUUUGUGUUCAUUUUUAAAUUGUGUUUAUUAGGCAAACUUAUGGUAAAACUUAAAAGACUCAAAGGAACUCACCAUUUUCCUUUUAACCUCUUCAAUCUCCUUUAGAUCUAAUAAAUUUACCUUCUCCUUAUUAUAUCUUUCCUUGUACCCAGGUUCACCCAAUUUUAUUUGUGAAAAAAAAUAAGGAAAAGUUAAAAUGGUUUAAUAUGUAACAAAAAAACAUAUAUUAGAAGUCUAUAUGAAUUUCGUAUAAACAGAAAACCCCAAUGACUUCAUCAGCUUGUUCGCCUCUUACAACAUGAACAUAAUGAAAAUCCCAGUUAGUUUCCAUAUCAUUUGGCAUGGUAUCUGAAUAACAAAACUAAGAAAUAAAGGAAAACUUAAGUACAACAAAUAUGGUAAAAUUAUAUUGUGUGAUUACUAAAUACACAAACUACAUAACAUAAUUGUCAAGAUUCAAAUAAUAUAUGCAAUAGUCGAUCUUGAUACACUUUUGAAUCAAGUUCUUUCCCAGGUAAGUGUAUUCCCAAUCAUAUAAACUGAACCAUUUAAUCACACAGGGGCAGAAAAUGAAAAAGAACACAAGGUAAAUUACGUAUACUUUGCUAAUAACACCAAUAGUUGUUGUACCUAUAUUUAACAGAAAAAAACUAAAAUCAUUUUCCAUGUAAACAUCAUAAAACCAAAAGGUUUUUUUAUUACUCAGAAAAGCUUUUAUGACAUUUCAUGAGAUUUUGUCAACAACUUAUUUCAGAUUAACCACUUAUUGCAAUGAUUUAAUUAUUUUUGAUUUUACAUUUUUACCUCCUUCAUCAACAACACCAACAUCAGGCUAAUUCUCAAACAAAUGAGCCUACCCUGUCUCCAAUAACAUUUUUUUGAGAUCUAUCUACACAUACCCCAAAAAAGUAAUAUCAAUCUCGUGUGACUUCAUUUCAUAACAGACAUACACAUACCUGUUCGGGAGAUACAAUCGAAAGUUUUAUUUGGAGAUUAAGUGAUGAAGAUGUAGAGAGUUCAUUGAGUUGAAGGGUGGCGAAUUUCUGAAUGGCGGAAUCAACUGUUGAAGCCAUGAAUUAGGAAAUUGUGAGUAAAAAAUAAACCUUAUCUAGGGCACCGCAAGAUAUCAGGUGGUUUCUUCAUCGCCAAAGGACCCACAUCAAUCAAAACCUGAAAUUAACCUUUUUGAAUAGCUUCUUCUCAAGAAACUUGAGCUUCCUCAUCUUCUUCUCGACUUACACUGAGUAGUGGAGCACAAUAAGUGGAGGCAAUAGAGAAUUGGGUCUUAUCUAUUUUAUUUGUUUUUUUUUAAGG